RNAcentral lists this transfer RNA (64 nucleotides) under Allocarsidara bakeri. RNAcentral describes it as "tRNA-Arg". The record is from RNAcentral. Lineage: Eukaryota; Metazoa; Arthropoda; Insecta; Hemiptera; Carsidaridae.
AAAUAAUGAAGUAAUAAUUACAAAUAGUUUCGACCUAUUGAUAGAGCUACUUAAACUCCUUAUU